Molecule: ribosomal RNA, 301 nt
Filed under: uncultured bacterium
Lineage: Bacteria
Description: partial 16S ribosomal RNA
Rfam family: Bacterial small subunit ribosomal RNA
Source: RNAcentral
CAGUCGCCACGGGAAUACGAAGGGGGCUAGCGUUGCUCGCAAUCACUGGGCGUAAAGGGCGCGUAGGCGGCGUUUUAAGUCGGGGGUGAAAGCCUGUGGCUCAACCACAGAAUGGCCUUCGAUACUGGGACGCUUGAGUAUGGUAGAGGUUGGUGGAACUGCGAGUGUAGAGGUGAAAUUCGUAGAUAUUCGCAAGAACACCGGUGGCGAAGGCGGCCAACUGGACCAUUACUGACGCUGAGGCGCGAAAGCGUGGGGAGCAAACAGGAUUAGAUACCCCAGUAGUCCCUGUCUCUUAUAC